Molecule: long non-coding RNA, 1031 nt
Organism: Dromaius novaehollandiae (emu)
Lineage: Eukaryota; Metazoa; Chordata; Aves; Casuariiformes; Dromaiidae
Exons: 2
Source: RefSeq, a predicted model, not a curated record
GUUUCCACUCCGUGGCAAUUUGGCGCGGCGGCGCGUUUGUCUGCAUUUUAUCUGCAUGAGCAGGUCGCCGCUGUCGCAGCACCUGCUGCGGGGGGACGCGGCGACGGCGCCGCGGGGAAACCCACCGCCCGCGCCCCGAGGGGGGCACGUGUGCGGGGAGCAGGCGCGGGGGACCGGGGCUCCGGCCCCACGGAGGCACCUAAGCAGAGCGGCUCGAGCGCGUCCGUCCGUCCGUCCGUCCGGGUGACCACGCCGCCAGCACGGAGCGGCGACGCUGCAGGAGCCGGGCCCCGCGGGCGCCUCUUCUGUAUGAGCCCAGGCGCUAAAACGCAGUGGGCCCGCGGAUGCUUUGUGAGCCCUUGCCUUUUUCCCUCCUUUUCCAUCAUUUCCGCAAGAACAAGCCUGACGCCUGAGAGGUACCUGCCUGACAGCUGUGUGUUCUCCUUCGUGAACCGUCUCCGUUUGGCGCACGGCAGCAGCCCCCACUCAGCCUCGUAAGACGUAACUCCGGGACACAGUACACGCUCUAGAAGACUCGAAAAAAAAAGGAAGAAAAGAAAAAAAAGAAACUUGCCAAUCCACCGAAGAAGCCUCCACCCCCACCUCCUUUCCAGACCACCCUCUCGGGCAAAAAGCCCCAGUGAAUAGACAGGCCCUGCAACAUGCCCCCGGGGUCAACAGACUUGCUCUUUCUGACAGACCAACAGGGGAAAAGAAUGACGUUAAGGACAUAUGAAAUGAAAACUGCAGCGCGCUACCCUCCACACGCAAAAAGUCAGCGUUGGGGCAAUUGCGGGGAGUCGGGCUUUAAUACAGGAUUUCUACUGAUACAGUUUUGUGCACAGCUUGUGGAAAAAAGCCCAGAAAAGAUAAACCAGAGCUAAAAAUCUCAGCAACGGUCUCGUCAGACACACCACGUAUCCACCCAGUCACAUCCCCUUGCUUUCGCUGCUCGCGAGCGCGUGGCCCCGCUGCUGCUCACGGCGAGGGCAAGUGUGGCUGGGCUGCUUGGUAAAGCGGUGCUUCAAGUG